UCAACUCAGUGAUUGAUGCAAUUGGCCAUUUCAUUCAAGAGAGCAUCACCAGUGAUGUCCAGAGAGCUGGGAUGUUCUCUGUUCAGCUGGACACAACCCAAGACAUCACAGGUUAUGAUCAGUGUUCAGUAAUUAUCAGGUAUGUUACUGAGGCUGUGCAGGAGAGGCUUGUCUCCAUAGUGAGGUGCGAAGCAUCCACGGGGCAGUACUUUGUAAACUUGCUUUCUGGAGUUUUAGAGCAUCUGAAUCUGGACAAGGCCAUGUGCAUUGGGAAUGCCAUGGCCAUCAUAUGGUGACUGCCACAAGAUAGCCUCAAAAGUAUCGCCAGGGACUUCCCAACUGUGAAGGCAGCUGCAGACACAUUUGUGAAACAGACAAAUCAGAAACUCGAGGAGAGGGAGGACAACACAGACAUGGAAGUGGAGGCUGCACUACCUGUAAAGAGAGCCAAGAAGAGAAAACGCAUGGCCGGAGAGAUGACUGAAGAUGAGUUGCAAAUCAAUGCUGAGAAAACAACACCACCAUCCUGGACACAGUUAUUGAAGCAAUCCACAGACGAUUUGUCACAAAUGGCCCUCUUGUUGCGGAUUUGGCAUGGUUGGACCCCAGGAAGUUUAGCCAGGUCAGAACAGUUUCUCUUCCUAGUAAUGCACUUCAAAACCUCAGCACAUGUCUCCUCAAAUUUGACAGCAGGGCUACAGUAAAUAACCUUCAGUCAGAACUGAAAAGUUUUGCAGGACAGUGGGAAAGGCUUAAGACAUCACAUGUAGAUGACUACAGGACCAGAACAGCAAAGGACAGAUCUGAAGAAUGGGACGAAGAAAGUGAAAUUGUGACCAAAAGCUGUGAUUCUUGCAAAAAUUGCCCACUGUGCUGCUAUCAAAUUCUCAGGCGGUUCAACAUGCUGUCUGAUGCCUACUGUCUCCUUGGGCUGGCAUACAAGUACCUGCUGACCCUCUCUCUCACUCAGGUUGCCUGUGAAAGAACAUUCUCUACACUCAAGUUCAUUAAAAGCAGACUCCGAAGCAGCCUGUCUGGAAACAGGCUUGAGAUGUUUAUGCUGAUGGCCACUGAAAAGGACAUUCUCAUGUCAUUGGACUCCGACAUGGUCAUUGACAGGGUAGCUGAGAAGAGUGACCUGCUGAGAAAGCUGCUGUUGUAACCUGGUGGGGUGAAAUAAAAUUAUCAAAACAUUCCUAAUUAUGUUUCAGUUAAGAUUAAAUUCAACUUUAUUGUUAUUGCCUAAAAGUACAGUCAAAUGAAUAGGUUUUGUGUCUAUCUUCACUUCAAACAAGUCACGUGCUCAGAAAAUGCUUAGAAUGUGUCCAUCUUAAUAGGUUUUAAUGCAUAAGACAGUAGAUAGAAUAAAUAUUAGAUAAUAUAAAUAUGAGAGUUUUCUUACAGCCUUAAUCUGUCAUUGUUUCGUUUCAGACUCAGUCAGUCAAUUUUGGAAGCCUGAAGUGGGUUCAUUUUAAGUUUCCAUAUGUUAAGAUAUGUUCAGUGUUGCUGCUGUGGAAGUGUUGUGGUUGACUUUUUAGUGAUGCAGGUCUAAUCAUUCUUUAAGAGGUUCUCUAGACCAUGCAACUUUUUAAGUUCCUACCAUCUUUGAUGGGCUUGUAAGUUAGCAAAUGGGUGGACGUUAUGAUGCAGUGAGCUGACCAAUCAGCUGCCAGCUAUGUUCCGUUACAAUUACGCCUCUCGGUCUCUGCACCUUCUUUUGGCGCCUGUACCUGAGCGUAGGAGGCUGCGUUAUCCCCUCGAGAGUAAAUGAGAGCUGUGCCUGAAUCCACUGUUGUCACGGAGCUAAAGGCGGUGAAUUCCGCUAAAACGGUGAGUUGUUUACCUUGCGCUAGGCCUUUGAGUUCGCUAGCGUCCAUGUUAACAGGACAGGCUUUUGAGGCCCAUUUGUAUUUAAUCUAGCCUGCUGAGUUUACUGGGAGUUCGCUAGCAUUUAUGCUAAUCGGUGAAGCUAUGCAAAGGUGCUAAUUGUGUAAAGCUAAUGUGAGACUGCUGUAUUCGUAUGCUAAUAGGGUAAUUAACCACAAUAAGCUAGCGGAAUACUCUUUAAUGCCUGUGAAAAUUACAGAUUAUUUUGUUUGUGGGUUAUAAAAGGAAUUGUUACCUUUCCAUGUUGUUGCUAAAUGGUUACUUUGAAAAAAUAAUGAUGUUAAAAACUGUUGUUACUGGAAGUUAAAGAGGUAAAUUUUUAGUGCAUUCUUUCCACUGUUACCGGCGCAGAGGGGGAUAAAUGAGCACGCUAACACCUUAAUGCCUCUAAUUUGAAGUAAUACGAUUUGAUCAAUGUUUACAUGCAAUG
This is a long non-coding RNA of Micropterus salmoides (largemouth bass), 2317 nucleotides long. RefSeq lists it as uncharacterized. The record is from RefSeq and is a predicted model, not a curated record. NCBI's taxonomy places the organism in Eukaryota, Metazoa, Chordata, Actinopteri, Centrarchiformes, Centrarchidae. The transcript is spliced from 5 exons.